UGCCGAUAACGUGAGCAGAAAAUAUCCUCCACAGCCUUCUCCCUCUAAAUAUUUACAGCCUAAAGACUGCUUCCCUACAGACUAGCUAACCUGUCCCCUUAAUCUAACUGUAUACCAGAAACCUCCCUGGUUCAGCCGUAAGCAAUAAUCCUGACUCCGGUCCAACUAUGUAUAAUAGACCCACUGAGUUUCCUAGGUGCUGUGGCUUCUCCAUCGGAGAGCCUAGACAGCCCAAAUCCAGCUCUUCUCUGUCUAUGUUUAUCUUUUUUUUUCCCCCAUUCCUUCAGUUUCCCAAUCAGGUCUGACCCUGGACCUGUGCAGGAUGAAGCAGACAAAAAUACAUCUCCUACCUUAGGAGCAUCCCCAGCGUAGGCUGGACCUGAAAGCUGUUCUUGUCUUCCAUGGAGAAUCAUUGCAGGCCAAUUUGCAUUUGGAAGAUUGGAGCAUCAAGAUUUGGAGGAAGUUGUAUAAAUCUGUCUGCACUGGUACCCACAUAGAAGAAUAUGCUUACUACUCUAAUCUGGCACAAAAGAGAGUUACUCUGACUUAAUAAAUUGCUUCAACUG
RNAcentral lists this long non-coding RNA (566 nucleotides) under Mus pahari (shrew mouse). Its description in RNAcentral is "lncRNA (MGP_PahariEiJ_G0005474.1)". Lineage: Eukaryota; Metazoa; Chordata; Mammalia; Rodentia; Muridae. The record is from RNAcentral.